GAUGAACGCUGGCGGCGUGCCUAAUACAUGCAAGUCGAGCGAACAGACGAGGAGCUUGCUCCUCUGACGUUAGCGGCGGACGGGUGAGUAACACGUGGAUAACCUACCUAUAAUACUGGGAUAACUUCGGAAAACCGGAGCUAAUACCGGAUAAUAUAUUGAACCGCGUGGGUCAAUAGUGAAAGACGGUUUUGCUGGCACUUCUAGAUGGAUCCGCGCCGCAUUAGCUAGUUGGUACGGUAACAGCCUACCAAGGCAACCAUGCGUGGCCGACCUGAGAGGGUGAUCGGCCACACUGGAACGGAGACACGGUCAAGACGACUACGGGAGGCAGCAGUAGCGAAUCUUAGGCAAUGGGGGAAAGCAUGACGGAGCAACGCCGCGUGAGAGAUGAAGGUCUUCGGAUCGGAAAACUCUGUUAUUAGGGAAGAACCAAUGUGUAAGUAACUAUGCACGUCUUGACGGUACCGAAUCAAAAAGCCACGGCUAACUACGUG
RNAcentral lists this ribosomal RNA (497 nucleotides) under uncultured bacterium. Its description in RNAcentral is "partial 16S ribosomal RNA". It matches the Rfam family "Bacterial small subunit ribosomal RNA", at positions 28 to 507 of the family's 1533-position model. The record is from RNAcentral.